CACUACUCCACCUGUGGAGCACGCCUGCGCAGUGACUCACAACGAAAGGCGAGAAAUGAAAUAUACGCGGUGGGACAUAUUAUAAUACAGACUCAGAUGAAAUGAAUAGUCCAGUAUUAAAUGGAAAUGAGGGAACAUAGAACAGACAAGAAUCAUCCGAUGUAAGUCUUAUACUCCGGAGGACAUCCGAAAAAGCAACAGCCAUCUUCUAUAGCAGAAGCAAUGAUAUUAGAUACAGAAGCAGCUGUUAUAGCGAAUUUUGAAUUUUUGAGACAUACAGACAUGGACAUGGAAGAGGAAGAAGGAGAUGGAGACGAUGAAAUUUAUAAUGCAAAUACAGAUACCAAACCAAAUAAAGCAUCUAUCCCUCUUCUAGCGGAAGAUGUUGAUACAGAUGCAGAGGCAGAAGUAUUAAAUGAAUUAAAUCUCCUCACAGAAAUUGAAGAAUCGCCACCUGGUUCUAUCCAUCUGGAAAUGAAUUCUCCAAAGGGGUUUAUAAAUCCCUAUUUAUUCGUGUUUAUUAUAUACAGGAUUACAACAAGAUCCAAGACGCCCAAAUAAUAAAGAAGGCGGUGACUCCACGCUGAGAUUAGGAGAAUUAGAACAAUUAAGUGUUAACAAUGAUGCAGAAAUAUCGUACGAUAUGGUUUCCACCACGAAGGAAACCUUCAGAAAAAUAUGGAACGCUAAAUAUACGUUACGUUCGCAUUUUGACGCUGUUAGAGCACUCGUCUUCCACCCCGCAGAUCCGGUUCUUAUUACCGCAAGCGAUGAUCACACUGAAGUGGAAUCUUCAUAAGACUGUACCGUAUUCUUUCAGGUCAGCUUCGUUAGAUGUAGAAACACUUUACACAUUCAGAUCAUACACUGGACCUAUAUUGUGUCUAGCCAUGUGUAGUAUGGGCAAUUGAUGUUACAGCGGUGGUUUAGAUGGCAUGAUCCAUUGUUGGACAUUACCAUCGGCUAACAUUGAUCCAUACGACUCGUACGAACCAAAUGUCCUUAGUCAUACAUUAACGGCACACAAAUGCUGUCUGGGGCUUGAGCAUGUUUUAUGUAUAUGAAACAUACAUUUUUCGGUUAAUCCAUUAUUUAUGA
This is an RNA transcript of Harpegnathos saltator (Jerdon's jumping ant), 1098 nucleotides long. RefSeq lists it as uncharacterized. The record is from RefSeq and is a predicted model, not a curated record. The transcript has 5 exons. NCBI's taxonomy places the organism in Eukaryota, Metazoa, Arthropoda, Insecta, Hymenoptera, Formicidae.